Gossypium hirsutum (cotton) is the source of this 102-nucleotide non-coding RNA. Lineage: Eukaryota; Viridiplantae; Streptophyta; Magnoliopsida; Malvales; Malvaceae. The record is from Rfam.
AGUCCAUGAUGAGAAAACCUUUUCAACAAAUCUUUAAAUCUCUCCCAUGUAUCAUAAAGAGUCUCAAUAUCAAAUUGAACAAAAGAAGAGAUGUCAUUGACU